Podarcis lilfordi (Lilford's wall lizard) is the source of this 4581-nucleotide non-coding RNA. NCBI's taxonomy places the organism in Eukaryota, Metazoa, Chordata, Lepidosauria, Squamata, Lacertidae. The record is from the annotation of a GenBank genome assembly.
GUAGCACCAAAGUGACCUGCCCGGGCACAAGCCUGGUGUGUUGGCCUGUGAAUCUGAUUCAGAGGCUGAACCGGAGGAAUCCCAGCCUGCACAAGAGUCCCCGCCUCCAGAACCAGCUGAGCCGGGGCAGAGGCUUGAAUCUGAAGGGCUCUCACCUGUGCUGGAUCUUCAGGAGCAGACACCAGCUGAAUCUGCUCUGGCUCCGGAGGUGAUCGAGGACCCAUUGCCUGCAGGUGCUCCUCUCCCAACCCUGUCAUGGGAAGGUGAGGUUGCCUCUGGGUCCAGUAACCCUCCAGCCUCUCCUGAGCUGCAGAGGCUCAAGGCAGAGAGGCGGACGGAACUAAGCUCUCUCAGGCGGAGUGCUCGCCUUAAGGCCAGGGGAGGCGAGUCACCUGUGGGCCUGGACCGCCCCAGGCCUCAGAGGAGAUAAAGGCCAGUCAGCCCAGUCCCAGGUUGCGGGAGCAACAUUGUUGGUAGCCUGUUCCUGCCAGCACCCUGUCCUGCUCUUCUGCCAGAGUUCCUGACCACGCCUGACUCCCUACCUUGGACCCCACUUCUGCUUCGGACCACGCCACACGGUAACCGCCCGAGACCAGCACACCUGGCCAUAGUAUAUUUAAGCCCUAGCAACAAGACCACCCUCUCAGUUUCACUGAUGUGGUCCAAAGGAAAGCAGAGCAACACAUUUGGCACCAGCUUUGUGGAGGAGUUGUCAAAAGGAGGCAUACAACCAUCUUAGGGACUCCAGAUUUGGUAGGGCUUACUCCUUAGCUUUUCCUUCUCCUGAAGAUGUCCCACAAGGCAGCAGGUAUGGGUUUUUCCAUGGAGUUUCCUCCUGAAGCCUUUCUCACAGAUGUGUAUAGCUGCAAGGCAGUGGAAGUUUAGGGUCAGAGGUUUCCUUCUCCUAAGUGGACUACCUUCCAAGGUGGACCAGCCCCAUCUGCUCCUCACUACCCUCUACAGCACAUGCAGAUUUCAUUUUACAGAUUUGUAAGAAGCUGAACAUGGAUUAAAAGCCAUAUAAGGAAACUUAGUAGUGUCAGUUGAGAGUAGCGUCAGUUCACUGCUGGAGGUUGCUAGGUUGCGGAAGUCCUUGUGACACGCCCUUCAUUGUGACACCUCCCUCUGAUGGCUCCUUGGUCACUAGGGCUCUAGAGCAUGGGUCAGCAAACUUUUUCAGCGGGGGGGGGGGGCAGUCCACUGUCCCUCAGACCUUGUGGGGGGCCAGACUAUAUUUUGAAAAGAAAAAUGAAUGAAUUCCUAUGCCCCACAAAUAGCACAGAGGUGGAUUUUAAAUAAAAACACAUAUUCUACUCAUGUAAAAACACCAGGCAGGCCCCACAAAUAACCCAGAGAUGCAUUUUAAAUAAAAGGACAUAUUCUACUCAUGUAAAAACACGCUGAUUCCUGGAUCGUCCGCUGGCCGGAUUGAGAAGGCGAUUGGGCCACAUCCGGCCCACGGGCCUUAGGUUGCCUAUCCCUGCUCUAGAGGCAUAGCAAUCUCCUUUGGUUUGAUCAUUCAGCAAGUGAGAGAGAAAGUGGAUGGAGAUGUAAGUAGACUUCCUCAUCAGCAUCUGCAUUCUGUGCUGAUAAUGCUCCAUGAGAGUCUAGGGAACAUUUAAAAGAUUAAAAUCAGGAAUAAUUUAAAUGCUUCAGCUAGCCCUUCUGGGCAUCUUUAUGACUCCACCCACUGUUUUGUAACAGUGAAGGGAAGUGAGUGUGGAUUCUGCUUACACUUUAGGAAAAGGAAAACCUAGGAAAUGUCACACCUAGGAAAAGGGCGUUCUUUUUAGGCUAGUGGCACAAGAGUCACUUGAUAACUCACCAUGGGAGCAUUAAGCAUGCGCUCUGGAGAGCGUAAUAUCUUGCAUUGUCUUCCUCCCCUUCAAUCAAAAUUGAUUUGACAUCCUAUGCCCUUCUAAAAUGUGUUGGGUGGCGGUUAUAGGGUUGUUGUUUUAUUUUGAUUAUAUAUUUUGUGGCUUUAUAUUCUGAUUCUAUUCUGUGUAUCGCCCUAAGACCUCCAGGUGUAGGGCGGUACAUGAAUUCUAAUAAUACUAAUAGUAAUAAUAAUUGUGAAUCAUUAGCAUUGCCCAACUCCCCAUGUCUAAUACAGAUACUUGAUCUUUACAGUGCAAGUUAUAACCAAGUACAAUAUACAGCUGCAGAGUUUAAGUAAGUGGAAGGCCAACAUAUUUUUUUUUUAAGCAAAGGAGGCUUGCUCCUAAACAGCACUGUGCGUGCCUCAUGAGAUCCAUCUAAGUGUUCUGUUUCCAGUGUUGUUUUAUAUGAAUAUCGCAACAGUUCCUAACCAGUCCCGAAACUGCUGACGCAGCACUUAAAGCUCGCUGUGCAUCCCGAACAUAUUCCGAGCACGACCGCACGAGUCCCAAAGCUACUCUUACAACAGUUGCGAGAUGUCAGUGAAUCCUGUAUUGUUACAAAGAAGUCUGUUCUCAAUUCCGCCGAGGUCUCUUUAGAGAACAGAACUUAUUACAGCACCAAUACCUUCCAGGGGAAAAAGCAGUACAAAUGCGAGGAAGAUUGAUUUCCCCCCCUCCUCCCUUGAAUGCCUUCUGCACUUCAAAACUCUUCUGGGCUAAGAACGAGCCGUGUCAAUUAUUAUUAUUAUUAUUAUUAUUAUUAUUAUUAUUAUUAUUAUUUUCUGAUUAAGCAAUGCUGCUUCAGUGCUCAGCGAACUGCUUACUCAUGAAAUGGGCUCACAAGGAGAGGUGGUUUGCCUUGUUGUGGCAUAUUCUGGCCUUCCUGGUCACAUCCGUGCCAUACAUUUAAACCAGGGGUUUUCAAACUUUUUCAGCAGGGGCCUGGUCCACUGUCCCUCAGACCUUGUGGGGGGCCGGACUAUAUUUUUUUUUGGGAGGGGAAGAAUGAGCGAGGAACAAUGAGCGGCACACGAAAGGGCUCCGGAGAGGGGCUGCUUUAAAUGGCGGCCGCUUGAGAGGGGCCAGUGUGGUGUAGUGGUUAAGAGCGGUGGACUUGUAAUCUGGUGAACCGGGUUCGCGUCCCUGCUCCUCCACAUGCAGCUGCUGGGUGACCUUGGGCUAGUCACACUUCUCUGAAGUCUCUCAGCCUCACUCACCUCACAGAGUGUUUGUUGUGGGGGAGGAAGGGAAAGGAGAAUGUUAGCCGCUUUGAGACUCCUUCGGGUAGUGACAAAGCCGGAUAUCAAAUCCAAACUCCUGCUCCUCCUCAGCCAACCGCGGCUUCUGUGUCUUGCCAGCGGCAAGGGCUGGUGGUGGUGGUGGAGGAGGAGGGACGAUGAGCAGAGAGCGAAAAGGCUCUGGAGAGGGGCUGGCACCAACAAAACCCAGCUCCCUUCCUCCUCUAGGCAGGGUGGGGAGAAACCAGGAGGAGGGAGGGAGGAGGCGCCGCCGCCGCCGCGUGAGGGAGAGGGAAAGAACGAGCAUGCUGGCGAUCCACACGUCGAUUCCCGGACCGUCCGUAGGCCAGAUUUGGAAGGCAAUCAUGGCUGAUCCGGCUCACAGCCCUUAGUUUUCUGACCUAUGAUUUAAACUUUUCCCCAAGGAAUCCUGGGAAUUUUGGUUUCUUUGGGACCAUUCCAGUGCUAUUCCCACUGCCCCCAGGAGGCUCACUCUCAAUUCCUUCUUGUUCUCUCCUACUGGAUAUUUUACACUGAAAUAAGGGACAACCCUGUAUGGGGUAACUGUGCCCCUGAAGGACCAGGUGCGCAGCCUGGGAGUCAUUUUGGACUCACAGCCGUCCAUGGAAGCACAGGUCAAUUCUGUGUCUAGGGUGGCUGUCUACCAGCUCCAUCUGGUACGCAGGCUGAGACCCUACCUGCCUGCAGAUUGUAUCACCAGAGUGGUGAAUGCUCUGGUUAUCUCCCGCUUGGACUACUGCAAUGUGCUCUACCUGGGGCUACCUUUGAAGGUGACCCGGAAACUACAAUUAAUCCAGAAUGCAGCAGCUAGACUGGUGACUGGGAGCAGCCGCCAAGACCAUAUAACACCAGUCCUGAAAGACCUACAUUGGCUCCCAGUGUGUUUCCAAGUACAAUUCAAAGUGUUGGUGUUGGUGCUGACCUUUAAAGCCCUAAAUGGCCUCGACCCAGUAUACCUGAAGGAGUGUCUCCACCCCCAUUGUUCAGCCCAGACACUGAGGUCCAGCUCCGAGGGCCUUCUGGCGGUUCCCUCAAUGAGAGAAAUGAAGCUACAGGGAACCAGGCAGAGGGCCUUUUCGGUAGUGGCGCCCGCCCUGUGGAACGUCCUCCCAUCAGAUGUCAAGGAAAUAAACAACUACCUGACUUUUAGAAAACAUUGAAGGCGGCCCUGUUUAGGGAAGUUUUUAAUGUUUGAUGUUUUAUCGUGUUUUUAAUAUUCUCUUGGGAGCUGCCCAGAGUGGCUGGGGAGGCCCGGCCAGGUGGGUGGGGUAUAAGUAAUAAAUUAUUAUUAUUAUUAUUAUUAUUAUUAUUAUUAUUGAUAGGUGGCAACCCUAGAAAGCCCCCACUGCAAGAUGACAACUCCUCAGAUGUUUUCUGCCUGUGAAUUGAAUGGCUGCAAGGAAUUGCGUCUUUGCCCGACAGCAGGAGUGCUUCACGUUGGG